UACGAAGGGGGCUAGCGUUGCUCGGAAUCACUGGGCGUAAAGGGCGCGUAGGCGGCCGUUCAAGUCGGGGGUGAAAGCCUGUGGCUCAACCACAGAAUGGCCCUCGAUACUGGAUGGCUCGAGACCGGAAGAGGUUGGUGGAACUGCGAGUGUAGAGGUGAAAUUCGUAGAUAUUCGCAAGAACACCAGUGGCGAAGGCGGGUCUCUGGACAGUUCCUGACACUGAGGCACGAAGGCCAGGGGAGCAAACGGG
This 253-nucleotide ribosomal RNA is filed under the name uncultured bacterium. RNAcentral's name for it is "partial 16S ribosomal RNA". It matches the Rfam family "Bacterial small subunit ribosomal RNA", at positions 524 to 776 of the family's 1533-position model. The record is from RNAcentral.